GGCGAUAAAUCAUUCAAGUUUCUGACCUAUCAGCUUUCGACGGUAUGGUAUUGGCUUACCGUGGCAGUGACGGUUAACGGGGGAUUAGGGUUCGAUUCCGGAGAGGGAGCCUGAGAAACGGCUACCACAUCUAAGGAAGGCAGCAGGCGCGCAAAUUACCCAAUUCUAACAGUUUGAGAGAGGUAGUAACAAGAAAUAACAAUACAAGGCAGUUAAAAUGCUUUGUAAUUGGAAUGAUAGAAAUUUAAACCCUUUUUAAAGUAUCAAUUGGAGGGCAAGUCUGGUGCCAGCAGCCGCGGUAAUUCCAGCUCCAAUAGCGUAUAUUAAAAUUGUUGCAGUUAAAAAGCUCGUAGUUGAAGUUCUGCUGAAAGUAACCGGUCUGCUUUUAAUAAAAGUGGUAUCUUGGUAUGUAUUUAGCAAUGAUGUCCUUUGAAGUGUUUUUUACUUUAUUGUAAUAAAGCAUAUUCAGGGACUUUUACUUUGAGAAAAUUAGAGUGUUUCUAGCAGGCUAACGCUUUGAAUACUGCAGCAU
This 532-nucleotide ribosomal RNA is filed under the name Hepatozoon canis. RNAcentral's name for it is "SSU rRNA". It matches the Rfam family "Eukaryotic small subunit ribosomal RNA", at positions 286 to 810 of the family's 1831-position model. The record is from RNAcentral. Lineage: Eukaryota; Apicomplexa; Hepatozoidae.